AGACUGAAGUGGAGAAAGGUUCCAUGUGAUCAGCACUUGUGCAUGGGUCAGCCGAUCCUAAGAGAUAGGGAAACUCCGUUCGGAAGUGGGCAGUUCCAAUUUAUUGGGUAUUGCCCCGCCUAUCGAAAGGGAACCGGGUUAAUAUUCCCGGGCCAGGACGUGGAUACGUGUGGCAACACAAACGAGCUUGGAGACGCCAGCGAGUACCCCGGGAAGAGUUCUCUUUUCUUCUUAACUGUCUAUCACCCUGAAAUCGGUUUGUCCGGAGCUAGGGUUUAAUGGCAGGUAGAGCAGCACACCUUUGUGCUGUCCGGUGCGCUCUCGACGACCCUUGAAAAUCCGCCGGAAGGAAUGAUUUUCACGCGAGGUCGUACUCAUAACCGCAGCAGGUCUCCAAGGUGAACAGCCUCUAGUUGAUAGAACAAUGUAGAUAAGGGAAGUCGGCAA
This 447-nucleotide ribosomal RNA is filed under the name uncultured Stichotrichia. RNAcentral describes it as "partial Eukaryotic large subunit ribosomal RNA". It matches the Rfam family "Eukaryotic large subunit ribosomal RNA", at positions 1488 to 1920 of the family's 3401-position model. Lineage: Eukaryota; Ciliophora; Spirotrichea. The record is from RNAcentral.